Streptomyces autolyticus is the source of this 50-nucleotide non-coding RNA. The record is from Rfam. NCBI's taxonomy places the organism in Bacteria, Bacillati, Actinomycetota, Actinomycetes, Kitasatosporales, Streptomycetaceae.
ACAGGCUGGAUUUUGUUCACUGACACCGGUACCUGAUACGGCCGGUGCAG